UACGAAGGGGACUAGCGUUGUUCGGAAUCACUGGGCGUAAAGCGCACGUAGGCGGAUGUGUCAGUCAGGGGUGAAAUCCCGGGGCUCAACCUCGGAACUGCCUUUGAUACAGCACGUCUCGAGUCCGGAAGAGGUGGGUGGAAUUCUUGGUGUAGCGGUGAAAUGCGUAGAUAUCAAGAGGAACACCUGAGGUGAAGACGGGUUGCUGGGCCGACACUGACGCUGAUGCGCGAAAGCCAGGGGAGCAAACGGG
This 253-nucleotide ribosomal RNA is filed under the name uncultured prokaryote. RNAcentral describes it as "partial 16S ribosomal RNA". It matches the Rfam family "Bacterial small subunit ribosomal RNA", at positions 524 to 776 of the family's 1533-position model. The record is from RNAcentral.